Long non-coding RNA from Papaver somniferum (opium poppy), 477 nucleotides. RefSeq lists it as uncharacterized. The record is from RefSeq and is a predicted model, not a curated record. The transcript is spliced from 2 exons. Lineage: Eukaryota; Viridiplantae; Streptophyta; Magnoliopsida; Ranunculales; Papaveraceae.
UACACAGUUUGGUGAUAUGAUCCGGAAAAAGCGGGAAUCCAGGUAUAGCUACAUGUGGUAGUGGCGUUAACUAACUGUCAACUGUGGACGACGAGUGUGGGAUCCUUGUUGCCUUUGUAAGAAAAAAUAAAAGGGAAGAAGAAAAAGGCAACAGUGACAAAAACAUAUGGGUGUGAACACAAAAUAUUCGCAUGUAAAGGGAGUGGGCUUACGACUGGGCACUUUAUGCGCUGAUCUGAAAGAAAGAAAAGAACUCUUGGACAGGAUCGCUAGGCAUCUUUCUUGUAAGGGCUCACAGGUGACCAUCCGUCCUUUAGGCUUCAAAAUGUAUCUGAGGAUCUGAACUUGCCUGCAGCAAUCUAAAUUAAUAAGAACAAUUUGGCGUGAGGUUGUUACCCUUACUUUUCCUAAAUUCUUCUUUUAACAUAAUUGUUAGUGUGAGAUACUUAAUCAACAGACUUCAAAAAAAAAAAAAAA